GUGAAAGUAAAACCUUUAGAGAAGGUGGUCUGAUUUCACGUUAGGAUAUGGGGGGACAGUUGCCUCUUGUUCAGCAAUGAUUCCUGACAUUUUUAUAUACUAUUUAAAUGUCUGAUUGUGUUUGUUUUUUUACAGGGAGUUACAUAGAUGAACUUUCUGGAUCUCUGUAUCAGUAAGUAAUUUUAUUCUUUGUUAAAUAAUAUGAAAAGAUCAGAUAAACAGUGUUUCGGGACAUAUGUUUAAAAAUUUCAUAAAAACCUGGUGUGACAGGUUUGUACACGUUAAAAUCUACAUGGAAGGGUUUAUCAUUUUAGACUUGUUCAUUAAUGAAAAGAUAGUGUUAUUCUACAUCAGGCUUCCCCAAACUCUGGCCCCCCAGAUGCUGCUGAACUACAACUCCCAUGAUUCUAUGAAUGAGAUAGGUAGGCUGAGAAUCAUGGGAGUUGUAGUUCAGCAACAUCUGGGGGGCCGGAGUUUGUGGAAGCCUGUUCUACAUGAUUACAGUUAUUUACAUGAAACCACUUGUUGGUGUCACGAAUGGGACUGCACCAAAAAUUGCCUCUUUAUUUCCCCAUCUAGAGCUGGAUUCUGUGGCAUGAGAUAAACUUAGUUCCCGUGUCAAUUCUUCACAACAUACAGUUUAAAGAAUACAUUUAUUUGAGUUUGAUUGUUGUUAUGUACAGUAUUCCCUUUUUCAGGCAUAACAUUUAUUUUACCUCUCAAUCUGUUUUGAUUUGAGGAGAAAUUGCGGAAGCCGUGAGAGGCAGCCACAGACCACAAGAACUUAUUUCUCAAUAGUCCUGAAUUUAGUGGGUUCAGUACUGAUUUGGGACAUCUGUCCCGCCAUCGUCGUUUUCUUCUCUGGUGUCCCACCUCUGGGGACAUCAGCGGAUUGUCCUCAAUAAGGACACAUACAGUGAAAACAAUUGCCUGAUUAAAACCAGGAAUUUAUUAUUAAAGUGCUUUACAGGUUGCUACUGUCAAAGUUAUACAGACAGGGCUGGAUGGUAAGCAUUGGGAGUGUACUCCUUUAGUGGGCAAUAUUGUAGCAGUAGCAAUUAUAAGAGGAGAGAAAAAAAGCGUAGGUGGUUUAUUCUUCACCAAGGAAGUAAAAUUGCAAAUCCUCUGGAUAAAUUCUUCAGGGAUAAAAACAGGAAGGUCCAAAUCGAAUAAAAAUCAAAUAAUAAUACUGAUAUAUAGCAUAAAAUACUGAUAGAACACUAACGCAUUUCACCAGAAUCUUGGCUUUUUCAAAGUGGGCACUACUCAUAGCCAGAAAGAAAAGACUCUGGUUUGGGAAUUUGAAGUGGCUAUACUGGAAUUAGACAAGCGCUACACCGUUUGUAUUAUUUAAAACAUGUUGACAUUUCCUGUUUUCCUAUUCGUAGGACUGUCGCCAAGUUAUUCGAAGAAAAUCAGAACUAAUAGCUGCCGCACCAACUUGAAACAGAGUUUUAUAUGGGUAUUGUUUAAACUGGUGUUUCUCACAUUUCAAGACAGAAGUCACCCAUCAAAUGAUCACGGAGCAGAUGGACCUACAACUUCCCCAUCUUCCUUGACAGCCAUGCCAAGUAUUUUUGGGGGACAUGCAGGUGAUAGCAGAUGCUGGCAUUCGUGAUGGUCAUAGCUAACUGAACUCAUGCCUACUAUCUAACCCACCUGUUAUACAGGACAUUUCUGAA
Molecule: non-coding RNA, 1682 nt
Organism: Pelobates cultripes (western spadefoot toad)
Lineage: Eukaryota; Metazoa; Chordata; Amphibia; Anura; Pelobatidae
Source: the annotation of a GenBank genome assembly